AUGGAAGGGGAGAGGGAGAGAGCAAAGGACGAGAUAUAUGGUUCUUGGGGUAGUAGCUUUCGUUACCUAUUCAAUUUCAAAGCAGAGAUGGAACUUAGAUCCCCUGGAAGCAUUGUUGAGGUCGAUACUAAAAUAACAAAAGGUAAAGUUUACUUUCACAGAUUCUUUAUGGCACUUAAGCCUUGUGUAGAUGGAUUCCAUGCUGGAUGUAGGCCUUAUCUUAGCAUUGACUCAACUGCAUUGAAUGGAAAGUGGAAUGGUCAUUUAGCUGCAUGCACAGCUUUAGAUGGACAUAAUUGGAUGUUUCCUCUUGCAUUUGGUUUUAUUGAGGUUGAAGAUGAAGAUAAUUGGACAUGGUUCAUGACACAGUUGCAUAGAGCAUUAGGUCCAAUUUCAAAGCUUGCUAUAUGUACUGAUGCCUGUAAAGGCCUAGAAAAUGCAGUUAAGAAAGUUUUCCCUCAAGCAGAACAGAGGGAGUGUUUUAGGCAUUUAAUGCAGAAUUUUUCGAAAAGAUACAAUGGUGACAUAAUUGGACGCAUGUGGGCUGCAGGCAAGACAUAUAGACCUUCAAUGUUUGAGUACCACUUCUCGAAGGUUCUAGAAUCUAGCCAACCUGUGGGCAAGUACUUGCAAGAUUACCAUAAUCUGAAGUGGAUGAGGUCUAGUUUUGACACCGAGAUCAAGUGUGAUUACAUUCAUAACAACCUUGCAGAGACCUUCAACAACUGGAUAAAAGGAACCAAAGAUCUCCCCGUAGAUGUGUUAGAUGACAUGCUUAAUGGAAAGAUAAUGAAACUGGUUGCAACAAGGAGAAAGAUUGGGGAGAAGCUACAAGGACGGAUGUUGCCAGCAGUUGUACAACAAGUGAAUAACAGAACAAGAGGGCUUGGGCACUUGAAAGUUACCAAAUCAAGUAAUUGGAAAGGUGAGGUCAGGGACAUCAACAAAGACAAUUUGAGGCAUGUGGUUAACAUAGAGAAAAGUGAGUGCACGUGCCUUGAGUGGCAGCACACAGGUAAACCAUGUGAACAUGCACUUGUUUUCUUGAUUGGGAAAAGGAACGUGAAGAUGGAAGAUUAUCUUCAUGAGUACUACUCUCUAGAAAGGUUUAGGGCAGCAUAUAUGGGGGUUGUAGAGCCGCUCACAGAUAGAUCGCAAUGGCCUAAUGUUAAGUUAGACUUUGUAUUGCAUGCACCACUCCCCAAAAGUUCCGUAGGAAGAAAAAGAAAGUUGAGAUUUAGAAGUUGCCUUGAAAAGGGAGGAGGACAUUAUAAAAAGAAACCGCCACCAAAAGGUCAAUUAGGAAGCCAAAACAGGUGCAAGAAGUGUAAUCAACUUGGACAUAGGCAAGCUGGUUGCCCAACUAAUGGAGUGAAGAAAAGGAAACCAAAACCUAGAAAGAUAAAACCAAACACCGAAGUUGAUGUUGAAUGUUCAAUCCCAGGAGAUGCUCUCCUACAAGUCAGCCCUCGUCCUGUUACGAGGAGUCAAUCAUCUCUUCGUAGCCCUCUUGGAGAGAUGUCUCCAGUGGCUGUCCCACAAGCUAGUCCUCGACCUACGACGAGGAGUCAAUCAUCUCCUCGUAGCCCUCUUGGAGGGAUGUCUCCAUUGGGUGUCCCACAAGCUAGCCCUCGACCUAUAACGAGGAGUCAAUCAUCUCUUCGUAGCCCUCUUGGAGGUACAUCUUCAUUAGCUGUCCUACAAGGCAGCCCUGGUCCAAUCACAAGGAGGCAACUUCCUAUGGAAACAUGGACUCCCGCUUCUCCAGCAACAGUAGUUGUGCAGGCCGCAAAAAAGCUCACGCCGAGGAAGAGAAAAAGAGUGUAG
RNAcentral lists this ribosomal RNA (1827 nucleotides) under Triticum aestivum (bread wheat). Its description in RNAcentral is "partial small subunit ribosomal RNA". The record is from RNAcentral. Lineage: Eukaryota; Viridiplantae; Streptophyta; Magnoliopsida; Poales; Poaceae.